Molecule: long non-coding RNA, 210 nt
Filed under: Mytilus galloprovincialis (Mediterranean mussel)
Lineage: Eukaryota; Metazoa; Mollusca; Bivalvia; Mytilida; Mytilidae
Source: RNAcentral
AGAUAAACUGUAAACAGCAAUAAUGUUCAGCAUAGUAAGAUUUACAAAUAAGUUAACAUGAACGAAAUGGUCAAUCGACCCCCUAAGGAGUUAUUGUCCUUAAUAGUCAAUUUUUAACAAUUUUCAUAAAAUUUGUAAAUUUUUACUAACAUUUUCCACUGAAACUACUAGGCCAAGUUCAUUAUAGAUAGAUAUAAUUGUAAGCAGCAA